UAGGGAAUCUUCCGCAAUUGACGAAAGUCUGACGGAGCAACGCCGCGUGAGUGAUGAAGGUUUUCGGAUCGUAAAACUCUGUUGUUAGGGAAGAACAAGUACCGGAGUAACUGCCGGUACCUUGACGGUACCUAACCAGAAAGCCACGGCUAACUACGUGCCAGCAGCCGCGGUAAUACGUAGGUGGCAAGCGUUGUCCGGAAUUAUUGGGCGUAAAGCGCGCGCAGGCGGUUCCUUAAGUCUGAUGUGAAAGCCCACGGCUCAACCGUGGAGGGUCAUUGGAAACUGGGGAACUUGAGUGCAGAAGAGGAAAGUGGAAUUCCAAGUGUAGCGGUGAAAUGCGUAGAGAUUUGGAGGAACACCAGUGGCGAAGGCGACUUUCUGGUCUGUAACUGACGCUGAGGCGCGAAAGCGUGGGGAGCAAACAGGAUUAGAUACCCUGGUAGUCCACGCCGUAAACGAUGAGUGCUAAGUGUUAGAGGGUUUCCGCCCUUUAGUGCUGCAGCAAACGCAUUAAGCACUCCGCCUGGGGAGUACGACCGCAAGG
Molecule: ribosomal RNA, 547 nt
Filed under: soil bacterium LMF-P1-4
Lineage: Bacteria
Description: bacterial SSU rRNA
Rfam family: Bacterial small subunit ribosomal RNA
Source: RNAcentral